GUGCUCUCUUCAACAGCACAUAUACUAAAAUUGGAGCGAUGCAGAGAAGCUUAGCAUGGCUCCUGCCCAAGAAUGACAUGCAAACUCAUGAAGUGUUCCAUGUUAAA
Molecule: small nuclear RNA, 107 nt
Organism: Ursus americanus (American black bear)
Lineage: Eukaryota; Metazoa; Chordata; Mammalia; Carnivora; Ursidae
Source: Ensembl